Molecule: long non-coding RNA, 721 nt
Filed under: Rattus norvegicus (Norway rat)
Lineage: Eukaryota; Metazoa; Chordata; Mammalia; Rodentia; Muridae
Description: long non-coding RNA NONRATT022393
Source: RNAcentral
CCGUACCUAUGGGAAAGUCACUGCUGAACUGGUGACAUUUCUGUAUAUAUGUUGAGCACAGGGUCGGUCCCUGGAACAGAGCCGUUGCAUUGCAGUUGAACUUCUAGUAGCCAAGGCAAACCUCUGGACCCUCUGUGGUAGCACCAGGAUCCACCAACAGGCAACACAAGCUGAGGCCCGGAGGCUUCUGUGGGACCAUGUAUGAUUCCACUUCAUCUCCUGCAACCCUGUUGCUCUCCAAUAUGGCAAGAGGAGCAUUGGGUCUUCCUCCUUUGUUAAGACAUUUAUACCAGUUGAGCAAGAAGUCGGUGCUAGAGCGGCAGCAGCCGGUUUGGAGCGCAGUCUCUUCCUCAUGGAACCCUGGCCGGAUCACUGGUCUUCACCACCACUACCUAGUGCUUCCAAUGCGCCCUGGCUGUCUCUCCACACUCUCAAGGUCUUCUUCACUCAUCUUCUUGGCUGUGUGGAUCUGAAAACACACAGCGUUUGUCCGUAAUCUCAUCCUCAUCCACACUGACUGUGGAUAACCGGAUGUGUUUUGUGAGGCCCCUCAGUCUCAACAUGGUUUUACAGACUCGGUCCUAAGCAGAUAAAACAACUAAGCUUCACAGAGGUGAGGUAACUUCCUCUGCCAUCCAGGUGGAUGGUCAGGGUCAGGAGCCUCGUGAGUGAGAACAACAGGUCUGUCGAGUUCUGCAGGGCUGAGCUGUUUAUCAUUGCG